UACUAUCUUUUGCCUCUUGCCUACUGUCCAGCACCACUCGUCUACCGUCUCCUAUGCUGACCCACGCCACUCACCUACUGUUUCCUAACACAAACUGUAACAUUAAGCUGACACAAUCUUGCUGCACGGUUACUUAUCUGCAUGCAAUCACUAUUGCCAGCUGUUAUGAGUAAACAUUAUAUUGGGACACCAAUAUAUUUCUGAUUCACGGGCAGUGUAUUUGCUACUGAAGAAAAGGAGAACACAUAGUAAUUGUUCUUGGAUGGGGAUUUAGAGUAAGGUUUCUAUUGAUCUUUUUCAGAUAAGGCCUCUUCAUUUUCAACUGUGAAGGAUCUACAUGGACUCGGUCUGGAUAGCCUUUCCUGUUUUGAUGAGCCAGUCGGGUCUAGAGGAAAAACCCUAUAUGAGCCCCAGGAUCCUUGCUCCUGAUAUCCUGAUGUAUGGGAUGCACUUCAUUAUAUGACUCCAACAGAACACUCACAGAAAGGAGAGUGGUGUCAAACUACAAGACA
Long non-coding RNA from Alosa alosa (allis shad), 512 nucleotides. RefSeq lists it as uncharacterized. The transcript is spliced from 3 exons. The record is from RefSeq and is a predicted model, not a curated record. NCBI's taxonomy places the organism in Eukaryota, Metazoa, Chordata, Actinopteri, Clupeiformes, Clupeidae.